Molecule: ribosomal RNA, 446 nt
Filed under: uncultured bacterium
Lineage: Bacteria
Description: bacterial SSU rRNA
Rfam family: Bacterial small subunit ribosomal RNA
Source: RNAcentral
CCAGACUCCUACGGGAGGCAGCAGUGGGGAAUAUUGCACAAUGGGGGAAACCCUGAUGCAGCGACGCCGCGUGAGCGAUGAAGUAUUUCGGUAUGUAAAGCUCUAUCAGCAGGGAAGAAGAUGACGGUACCUGACUAAGAAGCCCCGGCUAACUACGUGCCAGCAGCCGCGGUAAUACGUAGGGGGCAAGCGUUAUCCGGAAUUACUGGGUGUAAAGGGAGCGCAGACGGCAGUGCAAGUCUGGAGGGAAAGCCCGUGGCUUAACUACGGGACUGCUCUGGAAACUGUGCAGCUAGAGUGCAGGAGAGGCAGGCGGAAUUCCUAGUGUAGCGGUGAAAUGCGUAGAUAUUAGGAGGAACACCGGUGGCGAAGGCGACCUGCUAGAACAUAACUGACGCUGAUGCGCGAAAGCGUGGGGAGCAAACAGGAUUAGAUACCCCUGUAAA